Molecule: long non-coding RNA, 1664 nt
Organism: Numida meleagris (helmeted guineafowl)
Lineage: Eukaryota; Metazoa; Chordata; Aves; Galliformes; Numididae
Source: Ensembl
GCACCAAAGUGCCCCACAUUUGGGUUGGAGGUCCCCCAAAGCGCCUCAGAUUUGGGUUGGAGGUCCCCCAAAGCGCCUCAGAUUUGGCUUGGAGGUCCCCCAAAGCGCCUCAGAUUUGGGUUGGUCGCAGCUGAACACGGCUACAAAUCUCAGCACCUCGAGAUAAAGCAGCAAAGCGCCCCAGAUUUUGGUUCACAUCGCCUUCAAACCUCAGUAGUUUGGGAGAAACGCACCCGAACGGCCUAAAUUUGGGAUGGAGGCACCGAAACGCCCCCAAAAUCUGGGUUGGAAGGAACAGAGCGUGGCUACAGACCUCAGCACGUGGAGAAAAAGGACACUGAAACGCCCUGGAUUUGAGUCAAAAGUCCUAAAACGUCCCAGAUUUGGGUUAGCACUGCUACAAACCUCAACUAACCGGAAGGAGAAGCACCAAAACGCCCCGGAUUUGGGCUGGAAAGCACCAAAACGCCCCGGAUUUGGGCUGGAAAGCACCAAAACGCCCCGGAUUUGGGCUGGAAAGCACCAAAACGCCCCGGAUUUGGGCUGGAAAGACACCAAAACGCCCUGGAUUUGGGGGACCAAAGCACCAAAACACCUUGGAUUAGGGGAUAAAUACAUCAAAACGCCCAGGAUUUGGGGGAUAAAGGCACCAAAACACCCCUGAUUUGAGAUAAAGGCACCAAAGUGCCCUGAAUUUUGGGACACCAGCACCAGAAUGUCCAAGAUUUGGGAUAAAGGCACCAAAACGCCCUGGACUUUGGGGACAAAGGCACGAAAACAACCCAGGUUUUAGGAUAAAGGCACCAAAAUGUCCUGGAUUCAGGGACAUCAGCACCAUAAGAUCCCAAAUUUGGGAUAAAGGCACCAAAACGACCCGGAUUUGACACACUGGCACCAAAACACGCUGGAUUUGGGAGACAAAGGAACCAAAACGGCCCAGAUUUUAGGGUAAAGGCACCAAAAUGCCCUAGAUUUGGGAUAGAGGCUACAAAACGCUCUGGAUUUUGGGGACAAAGGCACCAAAACGCCUCAGAUUUUGGCAACAAAGGCAUCAGAAUGGCCCAGGCUUGGGGAGACGGGCACCAGAAUGGCCCAGAUUCAGGGACAAAGGCACCAAAACAGCUCGGAUUCGGGAUAAAGAUACCAAAAUAUCCUGGAUUUUGGGGACAAAGGCACCAAAAUGCCCUGGAUUUGGGAUAAAGGCACCAAAACGCCCUGGAUUCAGGGACAAAGGCACCAUAACAUCCCAAAUUUGGGAUAAAGGCACCAAAAUGACCUGGAUUUUGGGGACAAAGGCACCAAAAUGGCUCAGAUUCGGGAUAAAGACACCAAAACAUCCUUAAUUUGGGGGACAAAGGCAGCAAAAUGGCCCGGAUUCGGGAUAAAGACACCAAAAUAUCCUGGAUUUUGGGGACAAAGGCACCAAAACGGCCCAGAUUCGGGAUAAAGGCACCCAAACAGCCUAGGUUUUAGGAUAAAGGCACCAAAACGUUCUGGAUUCAGGGACAUCAGCACCAUAACAUCCCAAAUUUGGGAUAAAGGCACCAAAAUGACCUGGAUUUUGGGGACAAAGGCACCAGAACGACCCGGAUUCGUGAUAAGGACACCAAAACAUCCUGAAUUUUGGGGACAAAGGCACCAAAAUGGCCCGGAUUUGGGAUAAA